This 642-nucleotide ribosomal RNA is filed under the name uncultured Ehrlichia sp. Its description in RNAcentral is "bacterial SSU rRNA". It matches the Rfam family "Bacterial small subunit ribosomal RNA", at positions 815 to 1456 of the family's 1533-position model. Lineage: Bacteria; Pseudomonadati; Pseudomonadota; Alphaproteobacteria; Rickettsiales; Anaplasmataceae. The record is from RNAcentral.
GCUGAAUGUGGGGAUAAUUUAUCUUUGUAUUGUAGCUAACGCGUUAAGCACUCCGCCUGGGGACUACGGUCGCAAGACUAAAACUCAAAGGAAUUGACGGGGACCCGCACAAGCGGUGGAGCAUGUGGUUUAAUUCGAUGCUACGCGAAAAACCUUACCACUUUUUGACAUGAAGGUCGUAUCCCUCCUAACAGGGGGAGUCAGUUCGGCUGGACCUUACACAGGUGCUGCAUGGUUGUCGUCAGCUCGUGUUGUGAGAUGUUGGGUUAAGUCCCGCAACGAGCGCAACCCUCAUUCUUAGUUACCAACAGGUAAAGCUGGGCACUUUAAGGAAACUGCCAGUGAUAAACCGGAGGAAGGUGGGGAUGAUGUCAAAUCAGCACGGCCCUUAUGGGGUGGGCUACACACGUGCUACAAUGGCAACUACAAUAGGUUGCAAGGCCGCAAGGUUUAGCUAAUCCAUAAAAGUCGUCUCAGUUCGGAUUGUUCUCUGAAACUCGAGGGCAUGAAGUCGGAAUCGCUAGUAAUCGUGGAUCAGCAUGCCACGGUGAAUACGUUCUCGGGUCUUGUACACACUGCCCGUCACGCCAUGGGAAUUGGCUUAACUCGAAGCUGGUGUGCUAACCGAAAGGAAGCAGCCAU